Long non-coding RNA from Chelonia mydas (Green sea turtle), 1843 nucleotides. RefSeq lists it as uncharacterized. The record is from RefSeq and is a predicted model, not a curated record. The transcript is spliced from 3 exons. Lineage: Eukaryota; Metazoa; Chordata; Testudines; Cheloniidae.
CCAGGUACGUGCUUGCUUUGCUGGUGCCUAGAGCUGGUCCUGGGAGAGCACCAGGUAAGGAGACAAGUCUAGUCAGCAUGAGAAGUGGCAGUCAUUAACACCCAAUGCCUAACCCUUGUUGAGUUUUUUGUAAGCAUCACAGCAAAGUCUUUAGGAGGUAUUAGCAAGAGAACAAUGAGGUGGUUUUGCAGCUGUUUAUGGGUAGGUCCUCCUGUGCAUAAGAGGCUGCUUGGAAGAAAUACCGUAGAAUAUAGAAAUCCUUCAAUACGAGAAUGUGACUCAAAAGUGCAAAUGCUGUUGGAGUGGUGAUCAAUUGCCUUGCUCAAAACUAAAGUUAAUGUCAAAGACCACAGUAGAUAUAAAUAAUCACAAGAUAGCAAAUAGACCAAAAAAACCAACAUCAGGUGAGCGUUAGAUCUGCAUCUUCCAAAGCUAAAUAAAAAUGGCUCUGAUUUUGUGGAAAGUCACUUAGACGGCUUGGGGCAAGUAUGUCCCACUCACACACAACUGAAGCACGCAAACAUGAAAUACUCGUAUACAGCAGAGGACUUUUCAGCAUUUUAUUUUUAUUUUGCAAAGGUAAAUCUAUAUAUUCUUUGUAGCCUUCCUAAUCCCAUUUCCUGCAUCUCUUCUUAAACCUCCUCUUCUCACCGCUGUGUCCCCCCACAAGUACAUCUCGUGCAAACAUUUUGUUGCAAACUCGAAAAUUUUUCAAGAAAAUAGCACUUCCCCCCCAAACCAAACUGGCAUGUUCCUGGGGGAAAAUUUUAUAAGCAAAGAUGGCUUUUACAAUCCAAACCUGCAAAAAUGUGCACUUUUGGGAUUUUUUGGUGCAAGAACAGUCAUUUUCUCAAAAUCAUGCUAAAGUGAGAUAUGUGUAUGUGAAAUGGAAAGGAGUACUUGUGGCACCUUAGAGACUAACAAAUUUAUUUGAGCUUAUGCAAAUUUUUUUUUUAUUUUUAUUUUUGCGAAUACAGACUAACACGGCUGCUUCUCUGAAACCUGUGUAUGUGAAAUGAUACUGUGCAAAAUGGAAGUAUUUUCCAUGUGGAAUUCAGACAAAUAAAACCCACUGAUAUUGCAUUGUUCCAUCCCUUUCUCACUCUGCCUUCCCUUCAGUGUGUCCCCUCUUCCAGUUGCAGCCCUUCCUCUGAAAAUCCUGGUCUACUCCACAUCCAAACAAUGAGCUAUUCUGCUCUCUUCUCACUUUGCCUCCCCUUCCUAGCUUUUCCACCUUUACCCAUUCUGACACCCCCUCAAAGGCCCAUCUGUCCCUGGGAAUUUCCCCACCCUAGCCAGAACUUGUGCAUUUAUCAGGAAAAGUUAAUUUGACACCAAUUAUUAACUCUGCUGUGAGACUUCAAUAAAUUCAUCAGUCAGUGGUAAAGGAUAAUUAUGUGGCUUGUAUGUAUUUCCAGUUAUCAUGAUAUUACUGUUCUUUUUAAUUAUGUGCAGAAUCCUUUUAAGAGAGUAAUGAGGAAGGGCAACUUGCUUCGCCUACCCAAUAGUAACCCAGUUAUCCCACCUGAGCAGGCUAAGAGAGAUGGCCCAGAUUGCCAGUACUGAACCUUCUCAGGUUCUGCUGCGUGUUAGUGCUUUCAGUGAAAUUGAAAAUGUCAUGAUUAGGCUUCAGAGAAGUCUUUUAACUGCUGCUGCACAUUGGGAAAACUUCUCCAUUGAAUUAUCCAUGAGGACUUCUGAUCUUUUUUCCUCAGAGGAUCCUGCUAGUUCAGAGGCAGUACGUAUCGAUAAGAAAUCUAACUAUAUUUGUCAGUGUGCAUAACUUUUAAUCUGCCCUUGUGCUGUCCAAUCUACUUUAGUUUUGAUGAAUAAAAACAGUGGU